RNAcentral lists this long non-coding RNA (225 nucleotides) under Mytilus galloprovincialis (Mediterranean mussel). Lineage: Eukaryota; Metazoa; Mollusca; Bivalvia; Mytilida; Mytilidae. The record is from RNAcentral.
CUCCAAACUUAAGUUUAUAAACCUGCAAUAAAAUUUUAUCAUCGUUUUUACUUGUAUAAGUCAACUAAAUGGUCCAUCCCUUUUGUUUUACUUUCAAUGUUGUAAUUCUGCUUUUUUUGUCGAAACUGCGACUAUUGUCGCAAAAGCAAUAGAGAUAUAGCAAACCAUUCUGUCAUCAGAAGCGUCCACAAGAUUUUCAAGAUUUCAAGAUCCUUUAUUUCUCAA